Non-coding RNA from Xyrichtys novacula (pearly razorfish), 782 nucleotides. Lineage: Eukaryota; Metazoa; Chordata; Actinopteri; Labriformes; Labridae. The record is from the annotation of a GenBank genome assembly.
AGAACACUUCAGAAUAAUCUCUGCAGUUUGUCCAAAACGAUGAUUAAAGUCGACAAAAACAGCAAAAAACGCCGUUAAAGAAGAAACAACAGGUACGUCUUCGUGUCGGUGCUGAAAAGGUUGGAAUUUAGGUUCUUUAAAGUCGUAAAUGAGUGAAAAUAUGUGGGUAAUAUCACUAAUAAAACAUAAAUAUGGAUUAAUAUCUGAUCGGUUUUUCCUUAUCCCAAACGGUGAUAUUCAGAAUAAUUAGAUCUGGGCUGGAUUAUCUUAAAGAAAUUCUUACAACAAACUUCUUUAAUGUGUGAAUCCCUAAUUUUAUAUGUGGAAAAAAAAGCGGGAAAAGGGUUUUUAAGGCCUUUUCAACAGGACCAGAUACUGAUCCAGAACUCCAAUAUCCAGGCUUCUCAGAAACUGACUGUGUUAUUAGAUAGGUAGAGGAUUGGGUAGAGGUAAUGAUCGAUAAAUACAGAAUGGAGAAGCUGACUUUCUCAUCAAGAUUAAAAACAGAGACUUAAAAAACUACAGGAAAAACUGGGUUUAUUAUGUGUCUCAUUUAAAAGCAGACUUUUUACACUAAAGACAUUGUGUAUUGUUGAUUAUUGAUCCCCUUGGUUCAGGCUACAAACUUGUUAAUUGUUCAUUUGUUUAUUUUGUUUACCCUCCAACAGGAGAAAAGGGACAAUGAAAGAGAGGAGUGAAAAUAAGGACAUGAGUGAAAAGUGUUUGAUUUUACUUAAGAAGUUUAUGUCUAACUAUGUCUCUGCUCUGCGAUGGAAAAAUAU